This 219-nucleotide long non-coding RNA is filed under the name Elaeis guineensis (African oil palm). Its description in RNAcentral is "long non-coding RNA (EGUI_LNC074871)". The record is from RNAcentral. Lineage: Eukaryota; Viridiplantae; Streptophyta; Magnoliopsida; Arecales; Arecaceae.
CUGUCUCCUUCAAAUCAAUGGUCAGGUUGGCCGAGCCACACUCAGACCUAGGCAUUCAUUUACUGGAUGCACUUGAUGUAGUCAUAUUAAUAGUUGGACCUAACUAAAUUUUUUAGUGGAGGCACCACACGCCUGCUGAAGAGAUAUCUGAGGCCAAAUCUAAUUGCUAAAAAUUAUUUAAAAAAAUAAUUGAUUAAAAACCUACCCAUGGAUGCACUA